CCCUUAGAUGUUCUGGGCCGCACGCGUGCUACACUGAGUGGAUCAGCGGGUCAGGUUGCGCGAAAGCGUUUCCUAAUCUUUAAAUCCGCUCGUGAUGGGGAUUGACGGUUGCAAUUUUCUGUCAUGAACGAGGAAUACCUUGUAAGCGCGGGUCAUCAUCCCGCGCUGAAUACGUCCCUGCCCUUUGUACACACCGCCCGUCGCUCCUACCGAUUGAAUGCUCAGGUGAGCCAUUCUGACUUUCAUCAUGCUGGUUUCCAGUUUUGAUGAAGGAAAGUCUUGCGAACCUUAUCAUUUAGAGGAAGGAGAAGUCGUAACA
RNAcentral lists this ribosomal RNA (319 nucleotides) under uncultured eukaryote. Its description in RNAcentral is "partial 18S ribosomal RNA". It matches the Rfam family "Eukaryotic small subunit ribosomal RNA", at positions 1470 to 1796 of the family's 1831-position model. The record is from RNAcentral.